RNAcentral lists this ribosomal RNA (358 nucleotides) under Neripteron auriculatum. RNAcentral describes it as "partial 16S ribosomal RNA". It matches the Rfam family "Bacterial large subunit ribosomal RNA", at positions 1956 to 2521 of the family's 2925-position model. The record is from RNAcentral. Lineage: Eukaryota; Metazoa; Mollusca; Gastropoda; Cycloneritida; Neritidae.
AUAAUCAUUUGCCUUUUAAUUGAAGGCUGGUAUGAAUGGUUUGACGAGAGUAAAGCUGUCUCACAUAUGCUUAAUAAAAAUUAAUUUAAAGGUGCAAAAGCCUUUAUAUACCAAAAAGACGAGAAGACCCUGUUGAGCUUUAAUUUAAAUUGAGUAUUAAUUAUAUAUUUAUACAAUUUAUUUACUUGAUAAAAAUUUUAAUUGGGGCGAUUAAGGAACACUCAAAAGCUUCCUGACUAUUCUUAUCUAAAAUGUUUCGUAAACUAAACCGAUCCAGCAGUGCUGAUCAACAAAAUGAGUUACCACAGGGAUAACAGCAUAAUUCUUUUUGAGAGCUCAUAUCGAAAAAAGAGAUUGU